This 529-nucleotide ribosomal RNA is filed under the name soil bacterium LT-P1-21. RNAcentral describes it as "bacterial SSU rRNA". It matches the Rfam family "Bacterial small subunit ribosomal RNA", at positions 355 to 896 of the family's 1533-position model. The record is from RNAcentral.
UGGGGAAUAUUGCACAAUGGGCGAAAGCCUGAUGCAGCGACGCCGCGUGAGGGAUGACGGCCUUCGGGUUGUAAACCUCUUUCAGCAGGGAAGAAGCGAAAGUGACGGUACCUGCAGAAGAAGCGCCGGCUAACUACGUGCCAGCAGCCGCGGUAAUACGUAGGGCGCGAGCGUUGUCCGGAAUUAUUGGGCGUAAAGAGCUCGUAGGCGGCUUGUCACGUCGGUUGUGAAAGCCCGGGGCUUAACCCCGGGUCUGCAGUCGAUACGGGCAGGCUAGAGUUCGGUAGGGGAGAUCGGAAUUCCUGGUGUAGCGGUGAAAUGCGCAGAUAUCAGGAGGAACACCGGUGGCGAAGGCGGAUCUCUGGGCCGAUACUGACGCUGAGGAGCGAAAGCGUGGGGAGCGAACAGGAUUAGAUACCCUGGUAGUCCACGCCGUAAACGGUGGGCACUAGGUGUGGGCAACAUUCCACGUUGUCCGUGCCGCAGCUAACGCAUUAANGCCCUUCNUGNUANAGCGGCCGCAAGGUAG